GUGAAUCAUCGAAUCUUUGAACGCACCUUGCACGCUCCGGUAUUCCGGAGCGUAUGCCCGUUUGAGUGUCGUG
Molecule: ribosomal RNA, 73 nt
Filed under: salal root associated fungus UBCtra1456C
Lineage: Eukaryota; Fungi; Basidiomycota
Description: partial 5.8S ribosomal RNA
Rfam family: 5.8S ribosomal RNA
About the family: 5.8S ribosomal RNA (5.8S rRNA) is a component of the large subunit of the eukaryotic ribosome. It is transcribed by RNA polymerase I as part of the 45S precursor that also contains 18S and 28S rRNA.
Source: RNAcentral